RNAcentral lists this ribosomal RNA (253 nucleotides) under uncultured bacterium. Its description in RNAcentral is "partial 16S ribosomal RNA". It matches the Rfam family "Bacterial small subunit ribosomal RNA", at positions 524 to 776 of the family's 1533-position model. The record is from RNAcentral.
UACGGGGGGGGCAAUCGUUGUUCGGAAUUACUGGGCGUAAAGGGCUCGUAGGCGGCCAACUAAGUCAGACGUGAAAUCCCUCGGCUUAACCGGGGAACUGCGUCUGAUACUGGAUGGCUUGAGAUUGGGAGAGGGAUGCGGAAUUCCAGGUGUAGCGGUGAAAUGCGUAGAUAUCUGGAGGAACACCAAUGGCGAAGGCAGCUCGCUGGGACGUGACUGACGCUGAGACGCGAAAGCGUGGGGAGCAAACAGG